AGUUGUUCUACCCUAAGCGAGAGGGUAUUUCACCCUUGGACCACCUUCGUUUGGCCUUGGAGGGCCUUCUGGAAGCUUAACGUGAGCGAGAUUGAGACCUAGUGG
Long non-coding RNA from Ananas comosus (pineapple), 105 nucleotides. RefSeq lists it as uncharacterized. Lineage: Eukaryota; Viridiplantae; Streptophyta; Magnoliopsida; Poales; Bromeliaceae. The transcript is spliced from 3 exons. The record is from RefSeq and is a predicted model, not a curated record.